Molecule: long non-coding RNA, 70 nt
Organism: Nothoprocta perdicaria
Lineage: Eukaryota; Metazoa; Chordata; Aves; Tinamiformes; Tinamidae
Exons: 2
Source: RefSeq, a predicted model, not a curated record
GAGUUCCAGACAAGUGACAGACUCAGGUUUAAAAUUUAUGAUCCUAACCACGAGCGAUUUGAAGUUCCCC